This 352-nucleotide ribosomal RNA is filed under the name uncultured bacterium. Its description in RNAcentral is "bacterial SSU rRNA". It matches the Rfam family "Bacterial small subunit ribosomal RNA", at positions 917 to 1264 of the family's 1533-position model. The record is from RNAcentral.
GGGCUCACACAAGCGGUGGAGCAUGUGGCUUAAUUCGAAGAUACGCGCAGAACCUUACCAACACUUGACAUGUUCGUCGCGACUUUAAGAGAUUAAAGUUUUCGGUUCGGCCGGACGAAACACAGGUGCUGCAUGGCUGUCGUCAGCUCGUGUCGUGAGAUGUUGGGUUAAGUCCCUCAACGAGCGCAACCCUUAUCGCUAGUUGCUAACAGGUAAUGCUGAGGACUCUAGCGAGACUGCCGGUGUCAAACCGGAGGAAGGUGGGGAUGACGUCAAGUCCUCAUGGCCUUUAUGCCCUGGGCUGCACACGUGCUACAAUGGUAAGGACAAAGGGCAGCGAGCCGGCGACGGU